This 540-nucleotide ribosomal RNA is filed under the name uncultured fungus. RNAcentral describes it as "eukaryotic LSU rRNA". The stretch from base 188 to 341 matches the Rfam family "5.8S ribosomal RNA". The record is from RNAcentral. Lineage: Eukaryota; Fungi.
UCUCCGUAGGUGAACCUGCGGAGGGAUCAUUACAAGAACGCCCGGGCUUCGGCCUGGUUAUUCAUAACCCUUUGUUGUCCGACUCUGUUGCCUCCGGGGCGACCCUGCCUUCGGGCGGGGGCUCCGGGUGGACACUUCAAACUCUUGCGUAACUUUGCAGUCUGAGUAAACUUAAUUAAUAAAUUAAAACAUUUAACAACGGAUCUCUUGGUUCUGGCAUCGAUGAAGAACGCAGCGAAAUGCGAUAAGUAAUGUGAAUUGCAGAAUUCAGUGAAUCAUCGAAUCUUUGAACGCACAUUGCGCCCCCUGGUAUUCCGGGGGGCAUGCCUGUUCGAGCGUCAUUUCAUCACUCAAGCCUCGCUUGGUAUUGGGCAACGCGGUCCGCCGCGUGCCUCAAAUCGUCCGGCUGGGUCUUCUGUCCCCUAAGCGUUGUGGAAACUAUUCGCUAAAGGGUGUUCGGGAGGCUACGCCGUAAAACAACCCCAUUUCUAAGGUUGACCUCGGAUCAGGUAGGGAUACCCGCUGAACUUAAGCAUAUCA